CCUACGGGUGGCUGCAGUGAGGAAUAUUGGUCAAUGGCCGAGAGGCUGAACCAGCCAAGUCGCGUGAGGGACGACGGCCCUACGGGUUGUAAACCUCUUUUGUCGGGGAGCAAAGCGAACCACGUGAGGCUCACUGAGAGUACCCGAAGAAAAAGCAUCGGCUAACUCCGUGCCAGCAGCCGCGGUAAUACGGAGGAUGCGAGCGUUAUCCGGAUUUAUUGGGUUUAAAGGGUGCGUAGGCGGAGGUGCAAGUCAGCGGUCAAAUUGCGGGGCUCAACCCCGGACUGCCGUUGAAACUGCAUGCCUUGAGUGCGCGAGAGGUAUGCGGAAUGCGUGGUGUAGCGGUGAAAUGCUUAGAUAUCGCGCAGAACUCCGAUUGCGAAGGCAGCAUACCGGCGCGCAACUGACGCUCAUGCACGAAAGCGUGGGUAUCGAACAGGAUUAGAUACCCCAGUAGUC
This 459-nucleotide ribosomal RNA is filed under the name uncultured bacterium. Its description in RNAcentral is "partial 16S ribosomal RNA". It matches the Rfam family "Bacterial small subunit ribosomal RNA", at positions 338 to 795 of the family's 1533-position model. The record is from RNAcentral.